GCGCGCGUAGGCGGUUUCUUAAGUCUGAUGUGAAAGCCCACGGCUCAACCGUGGAGGGUCAUUGGAAACUGGGAGACUUGAGUGCAGAAGAGGAGAGUGGAAUUCCAUGUGUAGCGGUGAAAUGCGCAGAGAUAUGGAGGAACACCAGUGGCGAAGGCGGCUCUCUGGUCUGUAACUGACGCUGAUGUGCGAAAGCGUGGGGAUCAAACAGGAUUAG
Molecule: ribosomal RNA, 217 nt
Filed under: Staphylococcus sp.
Lineage: Bacteria; Bacillati; Bacillota; Bacilli; Caryophanales; Staphylococcaceae
Description: partial 16S ribosomal RNA
Rfam family: Bacterial small subunit ribosomal RNA
Source: RNAcentral